GGUUUUAUUGUAGUUAUUAGAAAAUUUAUUUUUAGUAGUUUGAGUGAAAAUUAAUAGGUUCCUAAAGAGGAUAUAGUACUGAGAAGGAAGGUUUGGUUAUUUGUUUAGAAUAUUAGGUUUUUUAGUACCUUUUGUAUUAGGGUUGAUUUAUGUGGUUUUGCUUUUGUAGUUUCUCGAUGAGUAUCGGGCUAUUUUUCCUUGCGCAAUUCUCGUUGUAUAGAGCUGAAUAGGGGAUUAUAGGUAUGAAAUAUUAUUCAAGUUGCUUUUUAUCUGGUUCUUUAAGAAGUUUAAUAGUCGAUAGUGUUAUUAUUACAGUAAACAGGGAUUAGCUUGUUUAUUUUUUAUAUUGGAUUUUGGUUGAAUUUUGUUUGUUAAGUUGAUAGUGCUUGUUUUGAUGGAGUUAUUAUUGAGCAGGUUGUUUUUAUUAUUUUUUGGUUUUGUUUUUGUAUUAGGGUGGUGUUAUGAAUUUUUGAUGGUUUGUGAUAAUGAUUUUAUUAGUAAUAAUUUUUAUUGGGUUUAUUUUUAGUUUUCUGGUUUAUUGUGAUAGAUGGGUGAAUAUUUAAAUUUUGAUUAAUGAAUUAGGCAAUAUGAGUUUCUGACUGUUUAGCAAAGACAUUGUUUUUUGUUGAAGUAAAAAAUAAGUUCUGUCCACUGCUAUUGGGUGAAGGGCUGCAGUAUUUUGACUGUAUGAAGGUAGCAUAAUCAUUAGCUUCUUAAUUAGAAGCUGGUAUGAAGGUGAAACAGGGGUUUGCUGUAUUUUUUCUAUUUGUUGAAUUUUAUUUUUGUGUGAAAAAUCACGAUUGGAUUAAUGGGACAAGAAGACCCUAAUAAGUUUUAUUUUCUUCUAUAAUGCGUGUAUAGGCUUGGAUUUGUGCAAUUUAUUUUAGGGGGUUUGGCUGGGGCGGCAUUUUAUUUAACAUAGAUUAAUUUUUAACUUAGUAUGGCGGCAUUUAGACCUAGUUUGUUUAGAUUUGUGUAAAACUACUGUAGGGAUAACAGCGUGAUUUUUUUUGAGAGUUCUAAUUGACAAUAAA
This 1034-nucleotide ribosomal RNA is filed under the name Dynoria icana. RNAcentral describes it as "partial large subunit ribosomal RNA". Lineage: Eukaryota; Metazoa; Arthropoda; Diplopoda; Polydesmida; Xystodesmidae. The record is from RNAcentral.